Molecule: small nuclear RNA, 332 nt
Filed under: Neotoma lepida (desert woodrat)
Lineage: Eukaryota; Metazoa; Chordata; Mammalia; Rodentia; Cricetidae
Description: 7SK RNA
Rfam family: 7SK RNA
About the family: 7SK was discovered as an abundant small nuclear RNA in the mid-70s but a possible function has only recently been suggested. Two independent studies have found that 7SK RNA binds the CDK9/cyclin T complex (known as elongation factor P-TEFb).
Source: Rfam by way of RNAcentral
GGAUGUGGGUCUGACUGCGAUAUCUGUCACCUCAUUGAUCACCAGGGUUGAUUCAGCUGAUCUAGGUGGUAGCAGUAAGGGAGGAGGGGNGCCCAUCUCCACAUACAUCCCUCUUGAAGCUGCAUGCUUGGUUGAGGACGACCUGCCCUGAAUAGAGGAGAACCNAUCUUUGGUUAAGGGUAUAAGAGUAGCUGUGCUCCCCUAUUAUAACCUCCAAACAAAAUCUCAAGGUUGCCCUUUCAUUAUUAUCAUUGAGUAAUACCAGAGUACAUAGGUUGUAUAAAUAUAUAAUAAUCUAUCUAUUAAUCCUCUAACUUUUGAUGGAUUUAGGU